ACUACAAUCGCGGAAGUCUCUGGGGAGUAGCCCGCCCGGCGCCAUGCGCGCACGGGGGCAUGCGUCAACAAACUUGGGCCCUCGCGGCCCAUGGCGCACGCGGUUCAGCCGGACUGGGCGAGACCAUUGACUGUGCACCGAUCCCAAGGCCGGAGUCGGGGCGCAGUCAAUGCUGUCCACCUAUCCGGCCGGAUAACC
Oryza sativa Indica Group (long-grained rice) is the source of this 198-nucleotide non-coding RNA. The record is from Rfam. Lineage: Eukaryota; Viridiplantae; Streptophyta; Magnoliopsida; Poales; Poaceae.